UAAAAGGCAAUACAUAUAAUAUCAGCUUAAGUAUCUGAAUAUUUUUAACGUGAACAAGGACGGGUGAAUGAGAAAAUAGAAUUAUGAAAGAAAGUGGUAUUGAGAAAAUAUGGUGGUGGUUGUUUAGGAAAGCUCUACAAUUCUGAAGUUCUACCAUCAAUAUUGUAGUGGUUAUUAAGGUCAACAGUGUUAAGAAGUAUUACUGUCAUCAAGCCAUCAUCGUUAUGUUUUUAUAACUUUAUGGUGAAGUAUCUAAUCCAUUACCAGCUCAAUCAC
Hydractinia symbiolongicarpus is the source of this 276-nucleotide long non-coding RNA. RefSeq lists it as uncharacterized. NCBI's taxonomy places the organism in Eukaryota, Metazoa, Cnidaria, Hydrozoa, Anthoathecata, Hydractiniidae. The transcript has 2 exons. The record is from RefSeq and is a predicted model, not a curated record.